GGACGAACGCUGGCGGCGUGCUUAACACAUGCAAGUCGAACGGAAAGGCCCUGCUUUUGUGGGGUGCUCGAGUGGCGAACGGGUGAGUAACACGUGAGUAACCUGCCCUUGACUUUGGGAUAACUUCAGGAAACUGGGGCUAAUACCGGAUAGGAGCUCCUGCUGCAUGGUGGGGGUUGGAAAGUUUCGGCGGUUGGGGAUGGACUCGCGGCUUAUCAGCUUGAUGGUGGGGUAGUGGCUUACCAAGGCUUUGACGGGUAGCCGGCCUGAGAGGGUGACCGGCCACAUUGGGACUGAGAUACGGCCCAGACUCCUACGGGAGGCAGCAGUGGGGAAUAUUGCACAAUGGGCGGAAGCCUGAUGCAGCAACGCCGCGUGCGGGAUGACGGCCUUCGGGUUGUAAACCGCUUUCGCCUGUGACGAAGCGUGAGUGACGGUAAUGGGUAAAGAAGCACCGGCUAACUACGUG
Molecule: ribosomal RNA, 469 nt
Filed under: uncultured bacterium
Lineage: Bacteria
Description: partial 16S ribosomal RNA
Rfam family: Bacterial small subunit ribosomal RNA
Source: RNAcentral